This 168-nucleotide ribosomal RNA is filed under the name Bacillus velezensis. RNAcentral describes it as "partial 16S ribosomal RNA". It matches the Rfam family "Bacterial small subunit ribosomal RNA", at positions 1 to 164 of the family's 1533-position model. Lineage: Bacteria; Bacillati; Bacillota; Bacilli; Caryophanales; Bacillaceae. The record is from RNAcentral.
UUUAUCGGAGAGUUUGAUCCUGGCUCAGGACGAACGCUGGCGGCGUGCCUAAUACAUGCAAGUCGAGCGGACAGAUGGGAGCUUGCUCCCUGAUGUUAGCGGCGGACGGGUGAGUAACACGUGGGUAACCUGCCUGUAAGACUGGGAUAACUCCGGGAAACCGGGGCU